UUUGACCUCAAAUCAGGUAGGACUACCCGCUGAACUUAAGCAUAUCAAUAAGCGGAGGAAAAGAAACUAACAAGGAUUCCCCUAGUAACUGCGAGUGAAGCGGGAAAAGCUCAAAUUUAAAAUCUGGUAGUCUUUGGCUGCCCGAGUUGUAAUCUAGAGAAGCAUUAUCCGCGCUGGACCGUGUACAAGUGUCCUGGAAUGGACCAUCAUAGAGGGUGAGAAUCCCGUCUUUGACACGGACUACCAGGGCUUUGUGAUGUGCUCUCAAAGAGUCGAGUUGUUUGGGAAUGCAGCUCUAAAUGGGUGGUAAAUUCCAUCUAAAGCUAAAUAUUGGCGAGAGACCGAUAGCGAACAAGUACCGUGAGGGAAAGAUGAAAAGAACUUUGGAAAGAGAGUUAAACAGUACGUGAAAUUGCUGAAAGGGAAACGCUUGAAGUCAGUCGCGUUGGCUGGGGAUCAACCUUGCUUCUUGCUUGGCUUACUUCCCAGUUGACGGGUCAGCAUCAGUUUUGACCGGUGGAUAAAGG
RNAcentral lists this ribosomal RNA (527 nucleotides) under Termitomyces sp. K1Ag. RNAcentral's name for it is "eukaryotic LSU rRNA". It matches the Rfam family "Eukaryotic large subunit ribosomal RNA", at positions 1 to 525 of the family's 3401-position model. RNAcentral also lists the same sequence under 2 other names. The record is from RNAcentral. Lineage: Eukaryota; Fungi; Basidiomycota; Agaricomycetes; Agaricales; Lyophyllaceae.